Long non-coding RNA from Astatotilapia calliptera (eastern happy), 1754 nucleotides. Lineage: Eukaryota; Metazoa; Chordata; Actinopteri; Cichliformes; Cichlidae. The record is from Ensembl.
GAUGAAACCUGACACUGACAUUGAAAUAACAUUGAUUCACUGUUGUUCUGUCAUCGUUGAUUGUUGAUCUAUUUAUAGUUGACAAGGUGACAACAAUCACGUUGAAAAACCAUCGAUUUAUGGUUGAGCGGGAAAUUAAAGCUGCUACCACUUGGACUAUUCCGCAGCACCCCUCUCAGUGGUACAUCCCUCCAGGUAACCAUUGUCUUGUACAGUAGAGCGGGACAUUAGAUUUACUCUCAGCGGAAUUGACCGGAGAAGGCAUCAGUUCAUGCACUGCACUGGCCUGCACCACGAUUAGUAUAAGACAGGGCAAAAAAGGACUCCAAAUUAAAAAAAAGAUAAAAAUGAAAGACUGGUGCAUUGUGCAGUUUAGCACUGGUGGUACAGAAAUAGUCCCUAGAUCAUGGAUAAAUGGGGAGAAAUUGUCAUGGCCUCCAUAUCCUCCGUGAGACACAUUCAGGAUCCACGACGCAGUAAAGAGGAGAGUUCAUCCUGGUGCAACAUGGCUCACCUAUGCACCAGUCCGACUUCUAAUAAGCCAUGACACAUUUCACGAAGCAGAACGCAGUCUUCAGAAAUAUCUAAGUGAACACUGUGAUAUGUCUGACCUUCAGUCCGAAGCUGAAACUCAGACCAGUCAUAAAAGAAAGCACAAACCAAAUCCCCUGUACACAUAUAGUGACUCAGAGGAUGAGCAGCCCACAAAAAAAAUGGUUUCCCCAGGCCCCUCGAGUGAAAAUACCAGCAUCUUUUUCUGUCAGACCUGACGAGAGCUGUUAACGAACUCCGUGAGGAGGUCAGAGCCAUCCGCAAUACCGGCUGCAAUGAAUCGGUAGAUGCUGGGGUACUGGCUCUGGAUUUGCCCUUGCACAACAUUGAGGAGCUAAACAAUGCAGAGCCAGCUCUUCAAUCACAAGAGGCAAAUAAGGCAAUGGUGAGACGCUUUGCCUUGAUUGGAGCCUGACGCAGCAGUUAGGGGCAAACUCUAUGUCCGAGUUAGUCUUUGCACAAGCAGUGCAGAAAUGGCUCCGAUACGCCCCAGAUCGUUUGGGUGGUGCAGGACGCACAUCAUGCAAAAAAUUACAAACUUCUGUGAAUCAUAUAAACGUAAAUCGGAAACUGUCUUUUAAUAAAGUAUUUAGCAAACGAAACAUGCCUAUUGACCUUUUUUUGUUUAUUUUUUUUCUCUGUUACAUCACAUGCAAUGCUUUCUUAUUUUAGGAUAUUAAUAUUGACAUGAUACAUUGUGAGACAUUUGGGUUUUUUUUUAUAAAGGGUGUCCAAUUUAAGGAAUAAGUACAAUUAUGUGUUUAGGUGGUUGAAGUAUUGAUGGAAACAUGCAGUAGUUUAGUAUUGGUUAAAAUACCUAUAAAGAAAGGUAGAUUUCCAGUCAUGAUUUAACUGUUUUAAUAAAAAGCAACUGUGCGAAAGAGGCGGAAAAUCAACACCAUAGCUCAACAGUGUUUCAAUAUCAGAAUCUGACAUUGUUUCAAUGUCAGCAGUAUUAGAAAAUAUAACGUUGAAUCAACGUCAGGUUUCAACAUUGAUUCAACAUCAAAACCUGACGUUUCAACAUUAAAAAAGGGUGCAAGAGUGACGUUAGGUCAACGUCACACUUCAACGUUGGUUCAAUGACACAGCCUGAUAUUGACUCAACAUUGUUUCAAUGUUUCCUUGCUAUCUGGGUAAAUACUUGUUUUAUCACUUAAAACAGAUAAUCAGUAUAAAAUAUUUGUGCAACAUAAUUUUUC